AAAGUAGCUUACCACUAAAGCAUUCGACCUACACUCGAACGACAUUACUAAUGCUAAUCUUUUUGA
Molecule: transfer RNA, 66 nt
Filed under: Trimerodytes annularis (Red-bellied annulate keelback)
Lineage: Eukaryota; Metazoa; Chordata; Lepidosauria; Squamata; Natricidae
Description: tRNA-Val
Source: RNAcentral